Molecule: ribosomal RNA, 660 nt
Filed under: Alteromonadaceae bacterium GUDS1317
Lineage: Bacteria; Pseudomonadati; Pseudomonadota; Gammaproteobacteria; Alteromonadales; Alteromonadaceae
Description: bacterial SSU rRNA
Rfam family: Bacterial small subunit ribosomal RNA
Source: RNAcentral
CGAGCGCGAACGUUCCUUCGGGAACAAGUAGAGCGGCGGACGGGUGAGUAACGCGUGGGAAAUUGCCCAGUAGUGGGGGACAACAUUCGGAAACGGAUGCUAAUACCGCAUACGCCCUACGGGGGAAAGCAGGGGAUCUUCGGACCUUGCGCUAUUGGAUAUGCCCGCGUCGGAUUAGCUAGUUGGUGAGGUAAUGGCUCACCAAGGCAACGAUCCGUAGCUGGUCUGAGAGGAUGAUCAGCCACACUGGGACUGAGACACGGCCCAGACUCCUACGGGAGGCAGCAGUGGGGAAUAUUGGACAAUGGGCGCAAGCCUGAUCCAGCCAUGCCGCGUGUGUGAAGAAGGCCCUAGGGUUGUAAAGCACUUUCAGUAGGGAGGAAGGCCUUAAAGUUAAUACCUUUGAGGAUUGACGUUACCUACAGAAGAAGCACCGGCUAACUCCGUGCCAGCAGCCGCGGUAAUACGGAGGGUGCGAGCGUUAAUCGGAAUUACUGGGCGUAAAGCGCGCGUAGGCGGUUAGUUAAGCUGGAUGUGAAAGCCCCGGGCUCAACCUGGGAACUGCAUUCAGAACUGGCUGGCUAGAGUACGAGAGAGGGUAGUGGAAUUUCCUGUGUAGCGGUGAAAUGCGUAGAUAUAGGAAGGAACAUCAGUGGCGAA